GUAUAUAACCAAAUUACAAGCACCUAACCAGAAAUUCACCUUCAAUAGAAGUUAACCUACAUGGCUAUAUCUCCCCACGCUCGAAGAACCAUAACAUGUAAGUUUGAUAAGUUAUGCAUCACCAAUCAAACAUUUUAUAAUCAUUAUUCUUAAAAAUUACUACGAAUACACACGAAUCAUCAAACCGCAAGAGUAUGAAACAAUCAAUUACAUUACGAUCGGAUCUACAUAAUAACAUGAUUCAAAUUUCAACAGCGAAAACAUGAAAAGUUCAAAAUAUCUAAUUAACAGGUGAAAUGAUUGAUUCAAAUCAGAUUAUUCUCUAUUCGAUCAGACGAUAUCUAAUUAACAGGUGAAAUGAUUGAUUUGAAUCAGAUUAUACUCUAUUCGAUCAGAUGAUUAAUGAACAAUACUGACCUUUAGGGUUCUGAUUCUAGGAGAUGUGGCACGAUACAUGA
This 458-nucleotide long non-coding RNA is filed under the name Helianthus annuus (common sunflower). Its description in RNAcentral is "sRNA HanXRQr2_Chr12g0522211". Lineage: Eukaryota; Viridiplantae; Streptophyta; Magnoliopsida; Asterales; Asteraceae. The record is from RNAcentral.